UUUGCAUCUCUUUUAGAUAAAGACCCUCAAUUUCACCCUUACUUCUCAAACUUAGAAGACAUCAUGAGCAUCAAAUAUUUAGAUCUUUUGUAUUACUGAUGCUAAUGCUGUCUUCCGCUCUUAAUUGUUAGUGAUUAAAAUAUUCCUGCUCGAGAGGAAGAUCUGCAUUUCUCCAUUUUCUUCAUAGGCCAAAAAACAGCAUCUCGUAGCAUUUUGGCCUAUGAAGAAAAUGGAGAAAUGCAGAUCUUCCUCUCGAGCAGGAAUAUUUUAAUCACUAACAAUUAAGAGCGGAAGACAGCAUUAGCAUCAGUAAUAAUUAAGAGCAUAUUCAAAGUAGGUAUUACUCAUAAGCAGCAUAGAUCAAUAGAGAAGAAGAUAAGCAGCAUCAAACAAGAGCUAUAUACCCAACGGGGGGUUACAAUACCCAGGAGCAGCACAAUAAGAAGAGCUUUAAAAGCAAGCAGCGCCAGCAGUCAUUAAAAUAAGAGCAAAUAGAGCAUUUAUUAAUAAAGAGCAUAAAGAAGCAAGCACACAAUAGGCUGCUGAAUGCAUAAGACCUAUAAGAGUCAUUGACUCGUAAGCAGCAACAGAGCUAUCAAAGCAGCAGAGCUAACAAGCAUUAAAGAGCCAUCAAAACAGCAAGAGCAUAAAUAAUUAAGAGCAAAGCCAAGGAGGAGUCCUAAUACUCAAUAAAGCAGCAUCAAAGAGCUAUCACAGCAGCUGCAGAAUAAUAAGAGCUUAAAUAAACAAGCAGCAACAUAAAAGAGCUUAAAAGAGCAUAGAAUAAUAAAGCAGCAACAGGCAACAGAAGCAUUAGCAAGAGCAUGUUAGGCAUUAAGCCAUUGAGCAAAGCAGCACAAUAAGAGCAACAUAAAAGAGGCACUAAGUCCUCCGAGAGCAGGCCGUAAGACCUCAAGAGCAGCAAUAGCAGAGCGAAUCUAAAUAGCAAGAGCUUAUUUAUUAUUAAGCGCAACUAACAGAGCAUUAGAGCAAGAGAGCUUUAUUGAAGCAGGCACAGAGCUAAGCACUAAUAGCAUAGCAGCAACAAGAGCAAUAAUUAAUAACAAAGCAAUAUAUAAGAGCAGAUAGUUAUAAUAACUAGAGAGCAAGAGCGAUAACGAGCUAAGCAGCUGUACAUCAGCCAUAUAAGCAGCAACUGAGCUAUUAAGAGCAGGCAAGCCUAAAGCAGCAUAAGGUAUGAUACCUAAAAGAGCAUAGAGCAGAACAAUAAGCAAGAGCAACAGAGCAAUAUUAUACAUAUUAGUAAAUAAAACAGAGCUAUUAUUCUUUAAUAGAGCUUGAGCAGGAGGCAACAAUAACAGAGCAUACAGAAAGAGCAUCAGUAAAGCACCAGCAUAAAUAAGCAGCAACAAGAGAGCAUAGUAAUUAAUAUUCAACAGCAGCAGAGCGAUAGCAGCAGAGCAGGCAAGAGCAAGUAAAGCCAUAAGAGCAGAAGAGCAGAAGUAGCAAGCACUAAUGCAAUAAGAGCC
This 1490-nucleotide ribosomal RNA is filed under the name Chroodactylon ornatum. RNAcentral describes it as "small subunit ribosomal RNA". The record is from RNAcentral. Lineage: Eukaryota; Rhodophyta; Stylonematophyceae; Stylonematales; Stylonemataceae.